RNAcentral lists this ribosomal RNA (422 nucleotides) under uncultured bacterium. Its description in RNAcentral is "bacterial SSU rRNA". It matches the Rfam family "Bacterial small subunit ribosomal RNA", at positions 355 to 774 of the family's 1533-position model. The record is from RNAcentral.
UGAGGAAUAUUGGGCAAUGCCCGAAAGGGUGACCCAGCAACGCCGCGUGGAGGAUGAAGGUCGUAAGAUUGUAAACUCCUGUUAGAGGGGAAGAAUAGUACCGGUUGGACCGGUAUAUGACUGUACCCUCAGAGAAAGCCCCGGCUAACUACGUGCCAGCAGCCGCGGUAAUACGUAGGUGGCAAGCGUUGUCCGGAUUUACUGGGCGUAAAGGGCGCGCAGGCGGGAUAAAAAGUCAGUGGUGAAAUCCUACAGCUUAACUGUAGAACUGCCUUUGAUACUUUUAUUCUUGAGUUCGGGAGAGAGAGACGGAAUUCCAGGUGUAGUGGUGAAAUACGUAGAUAUCUGGAAGAACACCAGUUGCGAAGGCGGUCUCUUGGUCCGACACUGACGCUGAGGCGCGAAAGCGUGGGGAGCAAACA